GACGAACGCUGGCGGCGUGCUUAACACAUGCAAGUCGAACGGAAAGGCCCUGCUUUUGUGGGGUGCUCGAGUGGCGAACGGGUGAGUAACACGUGAGUAACCUGCCCUUGACUUUGGGAUAACUUCAGGAAACUGGGGCUAAUAACGGAUAGGAGCUCCUGCUGCAUGGUGGGGGUUGGAAAGUUUCGGCGGUUGGGGAUGGACUCGCGGCUUAUCAGCUUGUUGGUGGGGUAGUGGCUUACCAAGGCUUUGAUGGGUAGCCGGCCUGAGAGGGUGACCGGCCACAUUGGGACUGAGAUACGGCCCAGACUACUACGGGAGGCAGCAGUGGGGAAUAUUGCACGAUGGGCGGAAGCCUGAUGCAGCAACGCCGCGUGCGGGAUGACGGGCUUCGGGUUGUAAGCCGCUUUCGCCUGUGACGAAGCGUGAGUGACGGUAAUGGGUAAAGAAGCACCGGCUAACUACGUG
This 468-nucleotide ribosomal RNA is filed under the name uncultured bacterium. RNAcentral's name for it is "partial 16S ribosomal RNA". It matches the Rfam family "Bacterial small subunit ribosomal RNA", at positions 28 to 507 of the family's 1533-position model. The record is from RNAcentral.